AAAUAAAAGUUCUACAUCGACUUACCUCUACUAUUACCCCUCGUAAUAAAAAAAAUCUAUUAGCUUGAAGUAGUCUUACAUUAAAAAUAUAGACCAAUAAUGAAAUUCUUAAAAUAUAUCUAAAAAAUAAAGUUCUCAGCCCACACUACUGUAUAAAUUUAUGUCUAAAAUUAGAAGAAAAGCACUAAGGAUUCCACUCGACC
This 203-nucleotide long non-coding RNA is filed under the name Sorghum bicolor (sorghum). Its description in RNAcentral is "long non-coding RNA (SBIC_LNC015337)". The record is from RNAcentral. Lineage: Eukaryota; Viridiplantae; Streptophyta; Magnoliopsida; Poales; Poaceae.